AACGAACGCUGGCGGCAUGCCUAACACAUGCAAGUCGAACGAGACCUUCGGGUCUAGUGGCGCACGGGUGCGUAACGCGUGGGAACCUGCCUUUAGGUUCGGAAUAACUCAGAGAAAUUUGAGCUAAUACCGGAUGAUGUCUUCGGCCCAAAGAUUUAUCGCCUUUAGAUGGUCCCGCGUUGGAUUAGCUAGUUGGUGGGGUAAAGGCCUACCAAGGCGACGAUCCAUAGCUGGUCUGAGAGGAUGAUCAGCCACACUGGGACUGAGACACGGCCCAGACUCCUACGGGAGGCAGCAGUGGGUAAUAUUGGAAAAUCGGCGAAAGCCUGAUCGAGCAAUGCCGCGUGAGUGAUGAAGGCCUUAGGGUUGUAAAGCUCUUUUACCCGAGAUGAUAAUGACAGUAUCGGGAGAAUAAGCUCCGGCUAACUCCGUG
Molecule: ribosomal RNA, 433 nt
Filed under: uncultured bacterium
Lineage: Bacteria
Description: partial 16S ribosomal RNA
Rfam family: Bacterial small subunit ribosomal RNA
Source: RNAcentral